RNAcentral lists this ribosomal RNA (492 nucleotides) under uncultured bacterium. Its description in RNAcentral is "partial 16S ribosomal RNA". It matches the Rfam family "Bacterial small subunit ribosomal RNA", at positions 29 to 507 of the family's 1533-position model. The record is from RNAcentral.
AGUGAACGCUGGCGGUAGGCCUAACACAUGCAAGUCGAACGGCAGCACAGUGAGAGCUUGCUCUUACGGGUGGCGAGUGGCGGACGGGUGAGGAAUACAUCGGAAUCUACUUUUUCGUGGGGGAUAACGUAGGGAAACUUACGCUAAUACCGCAUACGACCUACGGGUGAAAGCAGGGGAUCUUCGGACCUUGCGCGAUUGAAUGAGCCGAUGUCGGAUUAGCUAGUUGGCGGGGUAAAGGCCCACCAAGGCGACGAUCCGUAGCUGGUCUGAGAGGAUGAUCAGCCACACUGGAACUGAGACACGGUCCAGACUCCUACGGGAGGCAGCAGUGGGGAAUAUUGGACAAUGGGCGCAAGCCUGAUCCAGCCAUACCGCGUGGGUGAAGAAGGCCUUCGGGUUGUAAAGCCCUUUUGUUGGGAAAGAAAAGCGGCAGGUUAAUACCCCGCUGUUCUGACGGUACCCAAAGAAUAAGCACCGGCUAACUUCGUG